CCCUUAGAUGUCCUGGGCCGCACGCGCGUCACACUGAUGCAUUCAACGAGCUUAUAACCUUGGCCGAGAGGCCCGGGCAAUCUUGUUAACGUGCAUCGUGAUAGGGAUAGAUUAUUGAAAUUAUUAAUCUUGAACGAGGAAUUCCUAGUAAACGCAGAUCAUCAAUCUGCAUUGAUUACGUCCCUGCCCUUUGUACACACCGCCCGUCGCACCUACCGAUUGGAUGGUCCGGUGAGGCUUUGGGAUCUGAGCGGAAAGAGCGUUUCGCUGUUUCUGCUCGGAAAACUCAGUCGAACCUUAUCAUUUAGAGGAAGGAGAAGUCGUAACA
This 328-nucleotide ribosomal RNA is filed under the name uncultured eukaryote. RNAcentral's name for it is "partial 18S ribosomal RNA". It matches the Rfam family "Eukaryotic small subunit ribosomal RNA", at positions 1470 to 1796 of the family's 1831-position model. The record is from RNAcentral.